Equus caballus (horse) is the source of this 5509-nucleotide long non-coding RNA. Lineage: Eukaryota; Metazoa; Chordata; Mammalia; Perissodactyla; Equidae. The record is from Ensembl.
UGAUUCUCGGAACCAGAUGGGAAACGGAGGUGGGGCAACACGGAAGCCAGCCAGCUCCCUUCACCUUGGCCUCCCUGCUUCCCAACCAGCUCCUCACUGCUGGAGGCGCCAUGUCCUCCCAGCCUGGCCCAAACCCUGCCCUCCCUCUGGCUCCUACUGCUCUUUUCUAUGCACCUCGUGCUCUAGCCAAAGGAAACCACCUCCUGUUUCCUGAAUGUUCCCAUGCUUUCCCGGAGCAUGCCUUGUUCACGCCUAUUCUUCUGCCCACUGAAAUCCUACUUGUCCUUCAAAGCACAUCUCCAGCGCCAGAGUCUUUCUGAAUCUGCCCAACCAGACGUCAUUUCCUCCUCCUCCGACCCCUGUCCUCAUCCGAAGCUUCUCCACGUCUAGUUAGAAAUGCACGUGUCUCGUUCUCCCUGAGUGAGUGUGAGCCCCGUGAAGGCAGGGGGGUGUUUGAGCUCACAUUCCAUUCCUCUGUCCUUCCCAUAUGCGAGGCCUCAUUCUAGGAUCUGGAGAAAUAAAAAUGGACAAGGAAUUGCCCCAUUCUCCUGGAGCUCAUACUUUGGAGAUUUCGGUAAUUACAAUGCUGUUGGGUUAGGACAAUGUACCCCCAGCUCUCAAAUUCACAGACUCUGUUCACUGGAGGCCCUCUAGGAACACAGGAGCCUGACCUCUUCUUUGCAAACUCUGAAACUUCUCGAAACUGAGAAGAAGACUCAUUCUGCACAGGGUCAAUGGACCCGGGUAGGAUGCCGGAGGGGAGCCCACCUUUCCAGUGGAGAGGGAAGAGAGCAACGUAAAAUGACGCAGAGAUGAGCAAUUCAGUCAUGGAAGCAGAAUCAGUAACUUACCCAUGUGAUCACUGGGGAGACCAAGAAGCAUGCAAGUCUCUCUGCUCCCUGGUUCUUCUUCCGUGUCAGAUGCACAAACAUUUGUUCAUCAUCUGUGUCCUUCUCUAGAAAGCUGUUUUUCUUAGUUGGAAAGGAGCUAGCAUUCAUUCGUGCCCGUGAGUUUCUCCUUUUGGCCUGAAACUCUUGCCUUAUCUAAGUGAUGGUGACAUUUUAGGUGUCGUGUGUUGGCUAGAGAGAGAGACGUUUUCGAGAAGGAGGUAUGAAACUGGUCCAGAACGGUUCCUGCCAGCGCUUGGAUUUCACACCACAAAGGCAACCCGGGACUCUGCUUUUGUAAAAGUCACCGUUGGCACUCAGACCCACUGACCAGGCUCCAUUUCCUGCCAAAGGGGAUUUGACAUAAAAUUAGUGCAACCUCAUUUCAAUCAAUUUUAACCAAUAUUUUUAUAUUCUAAAGCACAAUAUCUGUAAUAUCCUGGAAUAUUGAACAAAAAUGAAAUUUUGGCUUUGGUUUAUACACGUAAGCAUAGAGCAAUUUGGCGCCUUUCUGUUUGGUUUAAUUGCAUUUUUACAAAUAUAAUUUGAUCGCAUUAGAAUAGAUUUGUAAAAGGACAGAUUAGGAAAGACGAGGAUGGCAAGGAGUGAAUAAACCGGGAGAUUGAAGAAAGCUGACAUCAGAAUCGUAAGCACUAUAGUCUACGAGGCAAUUCCUCAUAAGUACUUCAUUUGAGGCUUAGAGGACAUAAGCGUUAUCCGACCCAUUUUAUAGAUGGGAACACUGGGGUGCGGGGGUAUCUGGCUUUCCACGAGGACUUGAAUUUUUAUAGAUGCCAUACUUAGUGCCUAUGCCAUACUGCCUCUCGAAGGAGGUAGUGAGGGUAGAGGCGGACAGGAGACGGGUGCCAACAAGCUUGAGGUGAACACAGAGGGUGCUGGCAUUGGGCCAGCAGGAAACAAAGCCAGAACUGCUGCUGACCAGCUGCCAGCACAGCUGUUAUAACUGCCACACCUCUCUGUGAAGGGCCAAGUGGGCCGGGCUGGCCUGGGCUAUCCUGGUCUGCCUUCAAACCCAGGCUGCAGCCUGCUCUCUGUGGACUUGUCCCAUUGCCCCAUCACCGGGAAAACCAGGAAAAGAUAUUGCUGUCCCCUAAGUGCUGAGAGACCUCCUCCACCUCCACCCCUGCCUCCCGCUUCUGACCUUUUCACCCCAGAGGCACCCUGCAGUGCUCUGCAAUAAAGUUAUGGAUUAUUCAGUGACCGUUCCCCUGCUCUGCUCCUGCUGGCUGACAUUGCUGACCACUGGGCCCUGAGCUGGGUCAGUGCACAGUCUGGAGUGAUCCCUGGUGACGCUGGGAAAUGAACCUACGACCUCUUCUUGCCGAGGGUCAGUGAACUUUCUGGUGGUGCACGGGUCCAUCAGAAAAAAGUCAGCAGGGCCAGCCGGGAAAAGUGCUGACAACUGUGGGCAUUUGCAAAGCAGCCUCCUCACACGGAAGACUGAUAGCUAUCUGUCCUUAUCUCAGCUUUCCCAGCUUCCACAGCCCGGCCCUUUACUUUGAAUAAGCAAAUUGACAUUGAGGUCAUCUUAAAUUAACCAAUCAUAUUCCCCAGGUCAUUUUCUCAAGGAAAGAGUUGAACCCAAAGAAGGGUGUGUAUCCUUUGAAAGGAUCAUAAAUCUAUGCUUCUCUUGGUUUUUCUUUCCAUUUUUCUCUUCCCUGUGUUACGUAUGCUUUUAUACUCAUCCUAUUGUCUUUCAUUUAUAUUUAUUUUUCUAUUUGUAUAUUUAAUUGAAUAUGUAGUCAUACUCUCCUGAUAUAUUUAUAAAUACUACCCUACUUACACAAAUACUAUGUGUUGAGGUACGUGCUCAGAGCUGUUACACAUACAAGGAGAGGUCUUUGCCCCUAGGAGAGUCUGGUUUGAUCAGGCAGCUAGAAUACACGCACAAACAUCCACGCGACAGAUAGGAUGCAAUAAAUAUCACAAAAGGGACAUGAAGACAUUGCUAUCGGAGUAUAGAGGAGAGUAAGUCCGUGUUCAGACUGGACCCACUUUCAGACGAAGUGAUCAGGGAGGCUCAGGAGGUAUGACAUUUGGUCCAUGAACUGACCAUUGAUGACUGAGGUGGCCUGGCACUGGGUUCUUUCGCAGGGUCUGGUGCAAAGUGACACCUCACACAUUCCAGGUAGAAAGAGCAGCGUGAAUAAGAAUGUGGACACAGUGAAUGACAAGCAGCCUCGUUUUCCUUCACUGUUUCUUUUGGCAAAUGUUUAUUGAGCAUCUACUGUGAACCAGGCAGGCAUGGCUCUAGGUGUUGAGGAUCCAGGAAUAAAAUAAACGCACACAGUUCCUGCUGUCACUGGCCUUACCUUCUGGUGGCAGGAGAAAGACACUCAACAAAGAAAACUAUAACAUACCAGGUGGUGUUAGGCACUGAAAAGAAACGCAAAGCAGAAUACAGGGGCAGAGAGUGACAAGGGAAGUGUUAUGUUAAAGAGGGUAGUUGGGAAAACCAUUCUGACAAACCAAAACUUGAUGGAAGAGAGAGAGGCCGCCAUGCAGAUUUCAGGGGCUGAAACCCCAAGGCAGAGGGAAUAACAAGCGUGGAGAGAACACACUGGGUGUGUGUGAGGAGCACAGACGAGCCAAAGGGGCAAGUGUUUGAGGGGGUGAAGUACAGGGGACGAGGCUAGAGAGAGCGUUGGGAUCACAUCCUGUGGGGCUCUGCACACCGUGGUAACGACUUGGUACUUACUCUGACCACUUUGAGCAGAGCAAUGACAUGAUCUCACUCAUACUUCCAGAGGAGACUAGACUGCAAAGUAGGCUGAAGCUGGGAGAUGAGCUAAGAGUCCUAUAGUUUUCCUUUUCCUGGAGCAUGGUGUACAGAUAUUGUGCAUACGGAACUAGUUUAUUUUUCCAGGAAAAAAACCUGGAGGAGUAAUUUGGAACCAGAACAUGGAGGUUCUGCCUUGCGAGCCAAGCCAAUGACAUUUUUGGAGACAGCGAGGAGCCAUUGGAAGAGUUAAGCAGCUAAGUGCUAUGAUUGUUAUUUAGCUUAGAAAAGCUAAACAGGGCUCAGAUUCUAGGACUUGAGGGGUGUGGGUCCUGCUUCUGCCAGUCCCCAGCCCUGAAAUCUUGGGCAACCAUUGAACCACCCUAAACUUUAGUUUCACCAUCUGUAGUUUAUUCAUAUGCUCCUCUCCUCUCUAUACUGCCAAGAGUUAUUAUGAAGAUGAUGUGAUAGGAAUAUAUAUGAAAGCCUUCCAUAAACCAUGACACAGAGAACCAUAGCAAGGAUGAUGAUGAUGGUGAUGGAUUGAAAAGGGGUGCCUGGAUGAAGACUUAUUGGGGAGCUGCUGCCACUGUCCAGGUGACCUGGACAGGCCUGAGAUGAGGUGAUGGGAGUGGGAAUGGGAAGGAAAAAGCAAAUGUCAAAGACAUUGCAAAGGAAGAAUCUACAGCUCUGAGGGAUGGGCGGUGAAUACUCUGUAAGUGCUAUAGUUAGGGUCAAACACUCAAUCCUGCAGCCUGCUGGGAGACUUGUGAGUUCUCAUGCAAGGUUAUAGUUGCCACCAUGGGCUUGCUGCAACGAUGGGCAGAGGGAUAAACAUGGAGGAUCAAAGGCUGGCCCGGUGCAGGAAGGAGCAGCAGAAGAUACACUGGUAUAGGAGAUGUGGGAAUAACUGUCAGAGAGGGAAGAAACCAAAUGAAAAUUGUAGCUUGGGAGAGGGGGCAAAGAAAGGCUGUACAGAAGAUCCCUGGUGAGGUGAGAAAUAUGACAGCUUGGAUAUGAAGAUCAAGGAAUAGGAAAGACUCCAAUGUCAGGGGUUUUAAUAUCAAAGACAAGAAGUGGGAUGAGAGGUAUCAGAAAUGGGGCCACUGGGAAGGGAGGUAGUUUUAGGAGGGAAGAUGCUAAGUUUGGACAUUUUCAGCUUACAGUACCAUCAGGACAGACAAUGAGAGCUAUCUUGUAGGCAGUUGGACACAUGAGAUGGGGCUCAACACAAGUUGAGUUGGUUGAAUUGACUAUAGACACGUAAGGGAUUAAUGCUUGUAAUGAGGGUUUAGAUGGAGUGGGAGAGUAAAUGAAAGGUCCUGGGAAGGAGAUGGGCAGAGGGAAGCGUGCCGAAGAUAGAGACCUGAAGGCACCCACAGGUAAGGUAUGGAAGGAUGAAGAUGAAGGGAGAUGCAGAGGUGACAUAGCAUCAGACAGAGAGAAAGGCUGAGACAUGGAAGGCAAAGGAAUUAUUUUUAAAAGGAUAUAGUGGUCAGAAGUGUCCAAGAUCAUUAUAUAUUAGAAUAUUACUCAGCCGUAAAAAGAUGAAAUCUUGCCAUUUUUGACAACAUGGAUGGACCUGGAGGGUACUAUGCUAAGCGAAAUAAGUCAGACAGAGAAAGCAAAUUCUGUACUAUUUCACUCAUAUGUGGAAGAUAAAAAACAAACAAACAAAAAACAAACACAUAGACACAGAGAACAGAUUGGUGGCUACCAGAGGGGAAGAGUGGGUGGGGGGAGGGCACAAGGGUAACGGGGCACAUUUGUACGAUGAUGGAUGGAAAGUAGACUUCUGGUGGUGAGCAUGAUGUAGUGUAUACAGAAGUUGAAAUAUAAUGAUGUACACCUGAAAUUUAUAUAAUGUUAUAAGCCAAUGUGA